AGACGACGCUGGCGGCGUGCCUAACACAUGCAAGUCGAACGGAGAUAGGUUGAAAGCUUGCUGGAUACUUAUCUUAGUGGCGGACGGGCGAGUAACGCGUGAGCAACCUGCCCCAGACUGGGGGAUAACGUCGGGAAACCGGCGCUAAUACCGCAUAACACUGCGAAGCCGCAUGGUUUUGCAGUCAAAGCUCCGGCGGUUUGGGAUGGGCUCGCGUCCAAUUAGCUAGUUGGUGAGGUAACGGCCCACCAAGGCGACGAUUGGUAGCCGAACUGAGAGGUUGAUCGGCCGCAUUGGGACUGAGACACGGCCCAGACUCCUACGGGAGGCAGCAGUGGGGAAUAUUGCGCAAUGGGGGAAACCCUGACGCAGCAACGCCGCGUGAAGGAAGAAGGCCUUCGGGUUGUAAACUUCUUUGAUCGGGGACGAAGAUGACGGUACCCGAGGAACAAGCCACGGCUAACUACGUG
This 470-nucleotide ribosomal RNA is filed under the name uncultured bacterium. RNAcentral's name for it is "bacterial SSU rRNA". It matches the Rfam family "Bacterial small subunit ribosomal RNA", at positions 33 to 507 of the family's 1533-position model. The record is from RNAcentral.